GGAAAACAGCUAAAGAAGGGGACAGAGACACAGAAAAAAAAUGUAUGAAACAGAACAGACAACACAGCAAGCUCAGAAACCCACCCAACUCUGACAUAAGAACAAAAUUCAGAUAUGUUACAACAACAACUUUUUUUUUCCCCUUCUACAAAACUCUCAAAUAGUUCACCACAACCAUAAAGAUGAAUUCAAAAAGCAUUUCUUAUCACCGAAAACUAUCAAUUGAGAAAUUAAAUGAUGAUCGCUUCAAUAAUAAAACCA
Molecule: unclassified non-coding RNA, 261 nt
Filed under: Hevea brasiliensis (rubber tree)
Lineage: Eukaryota; Viridiplantae; Streptophyta; Magnoliopsida; Malpighiales; Euphorbiaceae
Source: RNAcentral